This 282-nucleotide long non-coding RNA is filed under the name Phoenix dactylifera (date palm). Its description in RNAcentral is "long non-coding RNA (PDAC_LNC017607)". Lineage: Eukaryota; Viridiplantae; Streptophyta; Magnoliopsida; Arecales; Arecaceae. The record is from RNAcentral.
GAAAUUUAAAUAUACAAAUCUUUAUGAUACACCUUGAGGCUUGUUAUUUGGUUAAUAUAUCUUAUGCAUAAAUCAUGAACCAAAUUGCAAUUCAAACAGUUGAUCUUAAGAGCCUCUAACUUAAUGAAAAAGGGGGAGAAUAAUGUGUUGAAUUUUCUUGAGUAUCUCUCAGAAAAUCUAUUUUGGAAUUCACUAAUGAGUUCUUAUUGGCUUGUUCUUUAGAACUUCAAUUUAGUGCCAAUUCAUUAUUAUAUGUACCAAAAUGUGCUUCUUUUUAAAGGA